UUUUAUUUUAUGUGGAGGUAGAUAUGGUCCAAGAAAAAGAUAUAUAGAGUGAAUAUUUUAACGGGCUGGAUAAAGAUCUAAAGAAACAAGCUUGGAAGACUGGAAGCAGGAAAGGCAGGAGGCAAAAAAAUCUAGGGAAGAGGCAUGUACACAUGGCUAUAUAGGUGGACACCAAGAGGAUCGGUCCUAUUGGCCUGUCCCCAUCACUCUCAGUAAACUUCUUGACUAAUUAUUUUUACCUUGAAAACAGUUCUUGGUCUUAGUUACCAGGACAAAAAUAUUUCUGCCAGUACAUUAAGAGUUUUUACUAAAGCUGAGUUUUCAGUUGCUGCCUUGUUAUUGAGGUCCUUAUGCUGACAGACUAAAAAGGAGAGAAGAAAAUGAGAUCCUACUUCUACAAGGGAAAGCUCCAAUCUCCUUCUUGUCCCUUCUCUCCCAGGAUGGACUUUCACCUAGUAAAAGUAGUCAAUGAACAG
Molecule: long non-coding RNA, 476 nt
Filed under: Chinchilla lanigera (long-tailed chinchilla)
Lineage: Eukaryota; Metazoa; Chordata; Mammalia; Rodentia; Chinchillidae
Description: lncRNA (ENSCLAG00000023955.1)
Source: RNAcentral